GUGCCAGCAGCCGCGGUAAUACGUAAGGACCGAGCGUUGUCCGGAAUCAUUGGGCGUAAAGGGUACGUAGGCGGUUAAAAAAGUUAGAAGUGAAAGGCUAUAGCUCAACUAUAGUAAGCUUUUAAAACUGUUUAACUUGAGAGAUGGAAGGGAAAGUGGAAUUCCUAGUGUAGCGGUGAAAUGCGCAGAUAUUAGGAGGAAUACCGGUGGCGAAGGCGACUUUCUGGCCAUUAUCUGACGCUGAGGUACGAAAGCGUGGGUAGCAAACAGGAUUAGAU
RNAcentral lists this ribosomal RNA (278 nucleotides) under uncultured Eubacteriales bacterium. Its description in RNAcentral is "uncultured Clostridiales bacterium partial 16S ribosomal RNA". It matches the Rfam family "Bacterial small subunit ribosomal RNA", at positions 505 to 783 of the family's 1533-position model. Lineage: Bacteria; Bacillati; Bacillota; Clostridia; Eubacteriales. The record is from RNAcentral.